GGAGUGGUGGUUCAGUGGUAGAAUUCUCACCUUCUGUGCAGGGGGCCUGGGUUUGAUUCCCAGCCAGUGCA
This 71-nucleotide transfer RNA is filed under the name Loxodonta africana (African savanna elephant). It matches the Rfam family "tRNA". Rfam says of the family: Transfer RNA (tRNA) molecules are approximately 80 nucleotides in length. Lineage: Eukaryota; Metazoa; Chordata; Mammalia; Proboscidea; Elephantidae. The record is from Rfam by way of RNAcentral.